UACAACAGGUGCAAGCUAUUGCACAUAACUGCAGCAUGUAACACCCACGUGGUAGCCAGGAGAAAAUAGCUACUCAAGCAAUCAGCACGGGCAGGCCUCUAAAUAGCCCAUUCUGUCCCCUAGUAAAAGGAAGGGGGAAGAGAAGGCAAGUUGGUGGGUGUUAUGCUGAGAAAGGUCUGUGCAAGGAAAGACAGAAGAGAGGUAAUAAACGAAGGGGAGAAAAUAAAGCCUCUCUAUGUCCCCUGUAGUUGGAAUCCAUGAUCAAUGGGAGCUCUCAUAUCAAAUUCAGUAGCACAAAGUUAAUCAAGGAAGUGUAAGAAUAAAGUUUAAAAAUCA
Pezoporus occidentalis (night parrot) is the source of this 336-nucleotide long non-coding RNA. RefSeq lists it as uncharacterized. NCBI's taxonomy places the organism in Eukaryota, Metazoa, Chordata, Aves, Psittaciformes, Psittacidae. The record is from RefSeq and is a predicted model, not a curated record. The transcript is spliced from 3 exons.